GAUGAACGCUGGCGGCGUGCCUAAUACAUGCAAGUCGAGCGAACAGACGAGGAGCUUGCUCCUUCGACGUUAGCGGCGGACGGGUGAGUAACACGUAGGUAACCUACCUAUAAGACUGGGAUAACUUCGGGAAAACGGAGCUAAUACCGGAUAAUAUUUCGAACCGCAUGGUUCGAUAGUGAAAGAUGGCUUUGCUAUCACUUAUAGAUGGACCUGCGCCGUAUUAGCUAGUUGGUAAGGUAACGGCUUACCAAGGCAACGAUACGUAGCCGACCUGAGAGGGUGAUCGGCCACACUGGAACUGAGACACGGUCCAGACUCCUACGGGAGGCAGCAGUAGGGAAUCUUCCGCAAUGGGCGAAAGCCUGACGGAGCAACGCCGCGUGAGUGAUGAAGGUCUUCGGAUCGUAAAACUCUGUUAUUAGGGAAGAACAAACGUGUAAGUAACUGUGCACGUCUUGACGGUACCUAAUCAGAAAGCCACGGCUAACUACGUG
This 497-nucleotide ribosomal RNA is filed under the name uncultured bacterium. RNAcentral describes it as "partial 16S ribosomal RNA". It matches the Rfam family "Bacterial small subunit ribosomal RNA", at positions 28 to 507 of the family's 1533-position model. The record is from RNAcentral.